Non-coding RNA from Sus scrofa (pig), 4209 nucleotides. Lineage: Eukaryota; Metazoa; Chordata; Mammalia; Artiodactyla; Suidae. The record is from RefSeq and is a predicted model, not a curated record.
UAAAGGUUACGCUCUAUUUAUUGUUAUUACAUAAUAUCAUCCCCGUGUAUUAUUACACAAUACACACCCUGGUAGCCUAUCUUACCAAUUUAGGGUGACCAACCAUCCAAGACUUUUCCAGUGUUAGUGCUGAAAGUCUUGCAUCCUGAGAAAUCAAAUCCAGACUUUGAGUUACCCUAGUAAUGGAGCGCUUGCUCCUCAUGGGCACAGUACAGUUGCCACAGCUCCAAGCAUCACACCCUCAUGAAAUGACAGUGCACCGAGUAAGAGGAAAGGGGGAGCAAGCAAAACAUAUUUCUCCUUGAACUUCUCAGAAGCCACAGAGACACUCCCCUUGCAUUUGAUUGGCAGGCCUGGGUCUCAUGAUCACUCUGGACCAAUCCCUGGAAAAAGAAGAAGGGGUUGGUAUGACUGGUAUAGGCCCAUCCCUAUUCAUCCCCAGGGCCAAGAUUCUGUUUCUGAGGAGGAAGAGGGUAGGUAUGGCUGCUUGGAGGCACCCAAGGGCGUGAGACCAGGCUGGACCGGCCACACGGGGGACUCAGCCUGCUUGGAGUCCUGGCUCUGCCCUGUUGUGGCAGGUUACCUGUGCUUGCUUAUGGAAGUUCCCGGGCCUGGAAUGGAAGGGAAACUGCAGCUACGACCUACGCCACAUCUGCAGCAAUGACCGAUCCUUAACCCACCGCACUGGGUCGGGGAUGGAACCUGCACCUCCCCAGAGACGAGCCGGGUCCCCAACGCUCUGUGCCACAGUGGGAACUCCUGGAAUCUUUUGCCCGUUUUCCUUUUGCUCCCACUGUCUGUCCCACUGCUGUUGACAGGUCUGCAUAUUCUGGAUCUGGGUGCUUCAGCAACUGUACGCAGUGCAACGGUCUCUUUCCACUCAGUGGCUUGUCCUUUGCUCCUUACUAGUUGGGCGCAAGCCAGGGAUGGCUCAGGGACUCCAGCACUUCUCCCAAAGGUCCCCCAGGUCUCCCCAAAGAAUAUUCCACCUGAGUGGAAUGGCCCACUGGCCAGGCAAGCAGGCCCGAGGUCCCCGAGCCCCAGCUCUCCCUGGGGACAGCCCUCCAAUCCUCUUGGCAGAAAUAUCAUAGGAACUCCGGGCCUGCCACCGUCAGCGGCUAAGGGAGUGGAACACGCCCAGAAGAGGAGGCAGGGGUCCAGGUGCAGACCGAAGCAUGGUCCCCCCCACUCCCCGCUCCUGCAAGCAGCCGAGGGGCAGGCUUGUCACGUACGGAUUAGAUCUGGGGGUCCAGAGACCCCCCCGGGGAGUCUGACACCCUUUCCCGAGUCAGCUCCCUCGGGAGCUCGCUCCCUCCUGGCUGGUUCUGGGGGCAGGGACCUUUCCUCUCUCCGCACGCCUCCCUCGGCUCUUCCUUCACUGAUGAUCAGAAAGCCCAGUCCAUCCCCAGCGGGUGGCACCCUCCCCAGAGGGACUGUCCCUUCUCCCCUCUCACCAUCACCUCCCCGUCUCGUCCCUCCAUCCUUCGCUGCCCACCCCAGACAUACUGGGCUACCUCCCGGCUCAGGGUCCCUCCCAGGACCCCGCUCUCUGCUCUCAGCUUCCCUUCCUGCCCCCUGGGCAGAGAAACUCCCACGAAGCGGCAUCUGCUCUGCUUUCCCACCCCCAGGCCCCCCCAGCAUCUUCUUGGUCCACACGGGCUGGCUUUUGUCCCCCCCCGCCCUUGUCAAGGUUGCCCGAGAGCCACCCUUUGUCCCACCUGUGGCCCCGUGUCUACCCUGGUCCCCUGGUGUCUGCAGAGCAUCUGCCACCCGGCCCCCUCUGCCGCUCCCGCCCCCACCACACUCCCCCACCAAGCGAUUCUCGUGACACCAGAUGGCCGUCCUACAGCUGAACCCAACUCCGACACUGUCGACCUGGAGACAGCGCCACAGGUUAAGGCCUCUGGCCCGUGAGACUGUCCCCCCCGCUCAGAGCCCGAGCCCAAGGGCUUGAUCCCCGAGUGACCCACCACGUCUGCUCAACUUGGCUGCAAGUCAGAGGUUCCCACGUCCUCCUCCCUCUGGAUCCCGUCACCCGUCAGCACAGCUCUCGGAACUCGGUUUAUUACAGGAGAAAGGACGCAGGACGGCCCAGAUGAGCCGCCACGAAGAGGUACACAGACAGACGCCUCACCGUUUCAAACACCCGAAAAGCGAAGAGCAGCAUGUGCUUUUCUUCAACCCCUCGCCUGGGAACCUCCACAUGUUGCGGGUGCAGCCCUCGAAAGACAAAACAAACAAACAAGCAAAAACGGUACCAAUUGCAACGGAUGGGAAGCGUCCCCAGAGCGCUGCUCCCGGGGCUUCUCGGGAACUCAGCCCAGGGCCAGCAUCCCCAUCCAGGCAGCUGAGCCCCAAGAUCAUGCGGGGCGUUGGCCCGGCCAGGACCCAUGGUUAGCCGUCUUUCUGGGAUCUUCUCCCCGUUGUAGGAGGGAGGCUCCGUCCUGGGGUCGCACGCAGUGGUGGUUGAGAGAUCGCCACGUGUCAGACCAUCCCCACGUGGUCUGGGAGCCUGAAGCCUCGCUGUGUCCAGAAUCUACCAACCCCGUGUCCCAGCGGUACCUCGGUGCACCUCCUGGACUGAGCCUUUGGCCUGAGCUCCUCCCCCAGUUCCAGGUGGGGGGUCCUGCCCCCUCCCUGCGGUUUAUGCUCCAUCGGCCUCCUGGACGAGUUAUGGUCCCUCGCUGACCUCUCGGAGGCCUCCAUCUCUCGGAGCACCCUGGGGACCUCUCAUGCAGCGUGACCUGUGCCAUCGCGUCCCUGUGACUUUGUCCCGAGGGCCAGGUUAGGGUCAAGCAGGACGAGCUUGUGGGGCGUUGAAAACACCCGUGGCAGAGGGAGUCUGGAGAGACCCAGAAGGGCGUGGCACGAAGCAAGAUUUCCCAGGGUGCGUUCCUGGCCAGAGAUGGCAGAGAGUUCCAGGGGCUGGGACUUUGGAGACAUCCGUUGGAGAAGAUGACCCGUGAGCAAAGGAAGACAGUCCAGAAAAGCAAAAUGGAGGCUCUGGGGUCACUAUCAGCCCUUUUUUUAAAAAAAAUUCUUUUUAUUUUUUGGUCAUGCCUUCCGCGUGCAGAAUUUCCCAGGCCAGGGAUUGAACCUGUGGCACAGCAGCAACCGAGCCAUGGCGGUGACAAUGCUGGAUUCUUAACCUGCUGCACCACGAGGGAACUCCAAUAUUUGUACGUUCUUGAGCCAGAGUGUUCCAGAAGUGAAGGGGGCUGCCUCGCCCAGCAGCAGGCUCCCUGUGGGUGAGCCUUUGGGAGAGACUGACUCCUGGGAUACAGAGAACUGUCUGCCAGGAUGCUUUGGAUGGCAAGUACCCAAAAAACUAAGUUCUACCCGGCUUAGACCUCAAGGGGCGGUGGUCAGCUCCCAUAUCUGAAUCGUCCAGGGGCCCAAGCGGUGGCCAUGAGAGGGGCCCUGCCUCCUGGGAACCAGCUCCAUCCUCCCAGGCUCUCCCACCUGGUGGAAAGAUACCUUUGAGCAGCCCCAAAGGUAUGCACCUUCAGGUUCAAAUCCAGCAGACAAAGAACACAUCUACUGCCAGCUAAAGCCAAAGCAGGGUUUACAUCCUAGGGCGCCCAUCUGGCCCGAGUGGGGUACACAACCUGAAUUACUGUGACCAAAGGGCUGAGAUGUUUUUAAACUGGCUCAAACCAAUCAAGGCUCACCCUGUGGGUAGAGCUGCGUCAAUGAGGAAAGUGGGGAGAAAAGCAACGAGUCCCCUCUCAGAAGGAUGGGGCAGGGAGGGCCCUAAGUUUCUAUGAUUACAAGCUCCCAGAGGACACCCGUCGCAGCACAGCGUGUCCAUAAAUAGGUGAUUAAUGAAUGCUUGUUGAGUGAAUAAAUGAAAGAAAAAGAAGGAAGGAAAGAUACAGCUCAAUAUAAAAAAAAAAAACUAUCCAAAAAAUGGGCAGAAAAGUAAAUCAAUUAUACGCCAAUAUGAAAUAAAAAUUAGGGAGCUCCUGUAGUGGCUCAGUGGUUAAUGACCCCAACUAGUAUCCAUGAGGAUGUGGGUUCGAUCCCUGGCCUUGCUCAGUGGGUUAAGGAUCUGGUGUUGCUGUGGCUGUGGUGCAGGCCGGCAGCUGCAGCUCUGAUUCGAUCCCUAGCCUGAGAACCUCCACAUGCCUUGGGUGCGGUCUGAAGAAGAAGAAGAAAAAAAAAAGGCAAAAAAUAAAUUAAUUAAAUAAAAUAAAUAAAAUUAUAAAG